AUUCCUGUAACGCAAUGUGGGUAGGUGCGUUGGACUUCUAAUCCAAAGGUCGUGGAUUCGAAUCCCACCUGGAAGG
Molecule: non-coding RNA, 76 nt
Organism: Trichonephila inaurata madagascariensis
Lineage: Eukaryota; Metazoa; Arthropoda; Arachnida; Araneae; Nephilidae
Source: the annotation of a GenBank genome assembly